GUCCACGCCGUAAACGAUGGGUACUAGGUGUUGGGGGUAUUGACCCCCCCAGUGCCGCAGUUAACGCAUUAAGUACCCCGCCUGGGAAGUACGGCCGCAAGGCUAAAACUCAAAGGAAUUGACGGGGGCCCGCACAAGCGGUGGAGCAUGUGGUUUAAUUCGACGCAACGCGAAGAACCUUACCUGGGCUUGACAUCCUAGGAAUCCCCUGGAAACAGGGGGGUGCCCGCAAGGGAGCCUAGAGACAGGUGCUGCAUGGCUGUCGU
This 266-nucleotide ribosomal RNA is filed under the name uncultured bacterium. RNAcentral's name for it is "partial 16S ribosomal RNA". It matches the Rfam family "Bacterial small subunit ribosomal RNA", at positions 793 to 1055 of the family's 1533-position model. The record is from RNAcentral.